AUGCUCUGGGAAAAUGGAAAAGCAAGAAAAAAAAGACAAAUUUAAGUUACAUUUUCAAAAUUCAACUCAACUUAUCAUCAUUUUUCUUCAUGUGCUGUCUGUAUUAUCAACCAAAUUUGUUCAUCUAUUUGAAAACUUUCACGCAUCAACACAAUGUCAUUCACGUAAAUGGUUAAUAAUUCAAUGAAUUUCCAUCUCUUCCCAAAUAUAAUUCAUCAUUUAAGCUCCGAAGUCCCUGUUAAAACUCGAUAGUGAAGCAUAAUUUUUAUCUUGAUUUAAAAGGAAAAAAUCUUUGAAUUUCUUAGCUCCAUAAUAUUGUAGCUUUUUCAGCUAAUCUUUAUCAUUAUCCUCAUCGUUACCAGAAUCUAAUAUGUUUCACCUUAACUACAAUGGUUCUGAGAAAAGAAAGUGUUUCCAUGAAGACAGUAACAGGAAAGACAAGAAAGAAAAGCCCAUAAUACAAAGUAAAGGAAUAAAGAAGUAACGUCUAAUGAGAAAUGAUUGGAUCGAUAAAAAAGAUGAACUUUCAUGGUCAAAGUAUUCUUAGAUCUAAAAAUAACAUAUUGACCUCAGAUUGUUGGUUUCAAUUCCCUUGUAUCGAAUUAAUAUUAUCCUCCAAAUGAUGUUAUCAAAUAUGGAAAUUUAAUUGCAACGACGAUUCCAUCUACUGGCUUUUUACUUUUACCAUUAAUUGUUGGAUUGCUGAUGUUUACGAGACUAUCUAAUUGUUGCUCUCUUGUUAAAUCCAUCUUGAUUGUUUCACUUUCCUGGACAUCUAUUAUUUACUUUGACAGUUAAUUAAUGCCCUCAACUCAUCUAUAUUUCAUUAAUCAAACCAACAAAUUAAAAAGCAACAAAAGGCUUACAAUUACCAUGAACGCAAACAAGUAACUGAUUCCCAGGAUUUCAAGUUUUCCAAUCAUGAAUCAUGAAUUAAGACUGAAUUUUGCUCAAUCCAAAUUCAAGUUGUCAUUGAUAAUCUAAUUGAUCGAUGAAGCUUUCCCAGUCUCUCAACUGAAUGUCACCAUGUUAAACAUUCAUUAGUAACUCAGAUCGAAGCAAUGUAAAUUUUUCCUGUCAACUUGAGUUCAUCUUAAUUUAGACUAAUAUUUUCCAUUUUUGUCUCUAACAAUAUCAAAUCAAUUUGAAUAGUAAAAUUGCAACGUUGAAAUGCGAUUGUUCAUUUAGACUAAACAAUCCUCUAGCGAUUUGAUGAUUGAAUGUAUCAAAUCAAGCCAAAGCUGUUCCCAAAAUUGAUUCAAUCUAGUUACUAAUGUUAAUGUCAACUCAAUCGAUAAUUACAAUUGAGUUAGCUUUUAUAAACAAAAUUUAUACUCUUUAGUACGACUCAGAAACCUUAAUCAUGUAAAGUUGAAACAUUUUCACUUUAAUCUUUUUGACAUGUUUAAGGUUUGCUCAGCUUGUUGAAUUUGAAGACUAUUUCCAGCACAUUCUUGUUGACAUUCAACCUUGAAAUGACCAUGAAGAUUCAGUUUUAUUCAGCUGUGAAAUUCAACUCUUUCAGUUUACACAGCAAAAACAUGAUUAAGCUUACUCCAGUAUCAACAACUUACACAAAAAAUAGUCAACAUUUAACCUUGUUUAUUAUGAAGAUGUUAAUUUGCCUCUAUUUUACAUCAUCCUAAUCAUCAUCAUUCAUUCAUCUAGUAUUUGUUUACUGGAGUUGACAUUGGACCAGAAAUAUUAAGGAUAAAGAUGAUAAUAUUGAUGAGUCUCGAAAGAUGGAAAGACAAGAAAGUCAAUACAAAGUAUACGCUGAAAUGAAACUGGAUCAGUAAAGAUUUGUGAUUCACUUUGACCAUCCAACUAUCAACUUAAUUCACUAAUAAGCAAACUAAAUCAACUAUUACAUGAAGCAAACAUGAUUACAACAAAGCAUCGUAUUACUGGACUUGAACAACGUAUUACAAUAUUAUAAAGAAACCGUCCAAAUCUCAUAUUUGAUCAAAUUGCAAAUUUUAACCCUCUCUCAAUGUUGCCUCAACAAAAGGGGACUGAAAGGCCAAUUAUCAUCUAAUUGAACCAAUCAACAAACCAUAGUUAAUCAUAUAUUGUCACAUUUACCAUGAUUACAAGUGAAUUAAUGAAUAAAUCUGAAUAAUUCAUUAUUUUCUCUCACAUUAUAACUGUCCUUUUGCCAUUCACAGUUUCAACCCAUGAUAACAUUCAAUAUUGUAAUCAUUUGAAGAUUACCAUUUUGUGGCCAUCUUUUUUUUUACAUUCAAACAUUGCUUCAAUCCAAUGAAUUGCGUGAUUAUGAAUACAAAUUGACAGUUAAAUAGAUUUGCGUGAAAAAAUCACUUUAUAAGCCUCAUAUUGACAUGUAUACAAGCAUUAAUAUAUCAUUAUCAUUACCUUUAUGAUUAAAUGUUGAACCAGAUU
This is a long non-coding RNA of Tetranychus urticae (two-spotted spider mite), 2403 nucleotides long. RefSeq lists it as uncharacterized. The record is from RefSeq and is a predicted model, not a curated record. Lineage: Eukaryota; Metazoa; Arthropoda; Arachnida; Trombidiformes; Tetranychidae.